Molecule: small nuclear RNA, 105 nt
Organism: Meriones unguiculatus (Mongolian gerbil)
Lineage: Eukaryota; Metazoa; Chordata; Mammalia; Rodentia; Muridae
Source: Ensembl
GCUCUCGCUUCAGCACCACAUAUUCUAAAUUUGGAAACAACACAGAGAUUAGCAUGGCCCCUGCAUGAGGAUGACAUGCAAAUUUGUGAAGCAUUCCAUAUAUUU